AUUUUACAGUCACAUUUUCAAGGAAGCCUCUGGAAAAGAUUUUUACAUAAAUUUUCACAGCCACUCAAUUGUGAUCUACUUUUUUACUGUUUAUCUUAUGACUAAAGAGACUAUUCAUACCUUGCCAGGUUGUACUUUAGCUGCUGAUUCUGUUUAUACUUAACUGAAUUUGUUUCCAUUCAAAUUUCUUGAUAAACACAGGAGCUUAAAAUUAAUUCCUAUGCUAGGAUAAGAUCUAUUCAGAAAGUUUGUCUCAAGAGUGAAAUGGUCUUAUAAGAUGACCCUUUGGAUACUAAAAUAUUAGCCUCUCUUAGUGUCUAAGACUGUCCUUAUGAGUAAUAUUACCAAUGUUCACCAAUAUUUUCCAUUCUCUUCCCUUUUCUGGAUAUGUAAAAGAUUAUAUUUCUUAGUUCUACUGAUAGACAAUGGCCAGAGCUGCUGUGUCACUUCCAGUGCAUGACUCACCAUGCUGUCGAAUGAACCAUCAAAAUGAUAUGGAGAUAUCAGAAGAAGAAAGUGAUCUUGAAUGUUUAGCCACUACAUGAAGGGCUGCCCUGGAGAAAUUCCUAGACUCUUAGCAGAUUUGCCUGAAAUUGUCCAAAUUUCUAUAAUUGAUCUACUCUAUAAUUGGAAUGAAGGAUAUGAAUUCUUUUUGAAUAAGGGAAUACAACGACACUAACAUCUGCUGAUUACCUACCAUGAGCUGGGUUGUGAACUAGUGGUUAAACUUACACAACUCUGUAAAACUGAUACCACAAUUGAGAAGAAAUGUUUCCCUCUGAAGACUGUAAUUUCCCCUGGAGAGUCUCAUUAGCUAGAAGCAGAUGUAAGUACCUGCAACAAGUGCAAAAUGCUGAACAUAAGUAAAAUGGGACAUGGAUCUUUAUCAAUUGACUUAAAAGGAAACUAGGCAAACGAUACAGGGGUACACAGGAAAACUAUGCUGAUAGACUCAAGAAAAAACAGAUGACAAAGAACACAAUGGCCUCCUGCAGCAGUCCGAGGUGACAACCUGAAGAAUGGUCAAGGAAAGGCAUUCCAAGUUCAGGAACUGGCUGAAUGGAAUCAGGGAAAGUGGACUAUGCCAGAUCUGGAAUAAGGUAUGGAAUCUUGCAUUGGGCUGUGAUUUAAGCCUUCUCUGUGGUACAGAAUAGCAAAGUUCAAUGAGACGGUAUUUAUCAAGUGUUAAAGAUGAAAAAGAGAAGAAAAACUAAGAAAUACAGGAACGAGUAGUAACUUCAAUAUCUGACUUAAGAAAGAACUCUUGUUCCCUCUUGAAGACAGUCGUACUGAAUCUAACACAGUAAGAUUGUCUGUACAGUAAGAGUGCCGAAUGGAUGAGCUAUCUGCAGAACUGAAAAGAGCUGAGGUCUGAGUGAUGGGUGGUCCCUAGAGUGGUAAGGCUAGGAUGAGAAAGACAAUCUCCUGUGGGAGAGUAAGAAUAAGAAUCAUUGGGGCACCUGGGUGGUUCAGUUGGUUGGGCGUCUGCCUUCGGCUCAGGUCAUGAUCCCAGGGUCCUGGGACUGAGCCCAACAGGCUCCUGCUCAGCCCGGAGGCUGCUUCUCCCUCUGUCUGCUGUCCCCACCCCCACUGCUUGUGCGCACUCUCUCUCUGACAAAUAAAUAAAUAAAAUCUUAAAAAAAAAAAAAGGAA
Ursus maritimus (polar bear) is the source of this 1653-nucleotide long non-coding RNA. The record is from Ensembl. NCBI's taxonomy places the organism in Eukaryota, Metazoa, Chordata, Mammalia, Carnivora, Ursidae.